UACGUAGGGGGCAAGCGUUGUCCGGAUUUAUUGGGCGUAAAGAGCGUGUAGGCGGCUUCACAGGUCCGCUGUGAAAACUCGAGGCUCAACCUCGAGCUGUCGGUGGAAACCGUGUGGCUAGAGUCCGGAAGAGGAGAGUGGAAUUCCCGGUGUAGCGGUGAAAUGCGCAGAUAUCGGGGAAGAACACCCGUGGCGAAGGCGGUUCUCUGGGCCAUUACUGACGCUGAGGAGCGAAAGCGUGGGGAGCGAACAGG
Molecule: ribosomal RNA, 254 nt
Filed under: uncultured bacterium
Lineage: Bacteria
Description: partial 16S ribosomal RNA
Rfam family: Bacterial small subunit ribosomal RNA
Source: RNAcentral